GCUGUUGUAUGCCGAAUUGCACGGGCAAUUACGAUAAUGGACCUAAAGUCAGUGUAUUUUAUUUUCCAUCUGACGAGGCUGGACACCGAGUAAGAACUCUGUUACAUGUGAACUGCAUUUGAACAAGGACGAUAUUGUAAGCAGUACCAGCAUGUAUGACCCGAAAACUGGUAUACUCUUGACAGCACCGUUGGAUCGUCGACGCUUGAGAAAAGAUGCUAUCCCAUCGAAGUUACCUGGCUGCCCAUCUUACUUGUCGAGUCAUCAAACUGCAGUACGAG
This is a long non-coding RNA of Schistocerca gregaria, 281 nucleotides long. RefSeq lists it as uncharacterized. Lineage: Eukaryota; Metazoa; Arthropoda; Insecta; Orthoptera; Acrididae. The record is from RefSeq and is a predicted model, not a curated record. The transcript has 3 exons.